AGAGUUUGAUCCUGGCUCAGAUUGAACGCUGGCGGCAGGCCUAACACAUGCAAGUCGAGCGAGAAAGUGCCUUCGGGCGCGAGUACAGCGGCGGACGGGUGAGUAACGCGUGGGAAUCUGCCCAGUAGUGGGGGACAACCCGGGGAAACCCGGGCUAAUACCGCAUACGCCCUACGGGGGAAAGCAGGGGAUCUUCGGACCUUGCGCUAUUGGAUGAGCCCGCGUCAGAUUAGCUUGUUGGUGAGGUAAUGGCUCACCAAGGCGACGAUCUGUAGCUGGUCUGAGAGGAUGAUCAGCCACAUCGGGACUGAGUCACGGCCCGAACUCCUACGGGAGGCAGCAGUGGGGAAUAUUGGACAAUGGGGGCAACCCUGAUCCAGCCAUGCCGCGUGUGUGAAGAAGGCCUUCGGGUUGUAAAGCACUUUCAGCGAGGAGGAAAAGCUGACGGUUAAUACCCGUCAGUAUUGACGUUACUCGCAGAAGAAGCACCGGCUAACUCCGUGCCAGCAGCCGCGGUAAUACGGAGGGUGCAAGCGUUAAUCGGAAUUACUGGGCGUAAAAGCGCACGUAGGUGGUUUGUUAAGCCAGCUGUGAAAGCCCCCGGGCUCAACCUGGGAAUUGCAGUUGGAACUGGCAGGCUUAGAGUGCAGUAGAGGAGUGUGGAAUUUCCUGUGUAUCGGUGAAAUGCGUAGAUAUAGGAAGGAACAUCAUUGGUGAAGGCGACCUCUGGACCGACACUUUACGCCGAGUGGGUGCGAAAGCGUGGGGAGCAAACAGGAUUAGAUACCCUGGUAGUCCCGCCGUAAACGAAGUCUACUAGCCGUUGGGAGCCUUGAGCUCUUAGUGGCGCAGCUAACGCACUAAGUAGACCGCCUGGGGAGUACGGCCGCAAAGGUUAAAACUCAAAUGAAUUGACGGGGGCCCCGCACAAGCGGUGGAGCAUGUGGUUUAAUUCGACGCAACGCGAAGAACCUUACCAGGCCUUGACAUCCUUGGAAGUUGGCAGAGAUGCCUUCGUGCCUUCGGGAGCCAAGUGACAGGUGCUGCAUGGCCGUCGUCAGCUCGUGUCGUGAGAUGUUGGGUUAAGUCCCGUAACGAGCGCAACCCUUGUCCUUAGUUGCCAGCGAUUCGGUCGGGAACUCUAAGGAGACUGCCGGUGACAAACCGGAGGAAGGUGGGGAUGACGUCAGGUCAUCAUGGCCCUUACGGCCUGGGCUACACACGUGCUACAAUGGGCGGUACAGAGGGUUGCCAAGCCGCGAGGUGGAGCUAAUCCCUUAAAACCGCUCGUAGUCCGGAUCGGAGUCUGCAACUCGACUCCGUGAAGUCGGAAUCGCUAGUAAUCGCAAAUCAGAAUGUUGCGGUGAAUACGUUCCCGGGCCUUGUACACACCGCCCGUCACACCAUGGGAGUGGGUUGCACCAGAAGUGGCUAGUCUAACUACGGAGGACGGUCACUACGGUGUGAUUCAUGACUGGGGUGAAGUCGUAACAAGUAGCCGU
Molecule: ribosomal RNA, 1502 nt
Filed under: uncultured Gammaproteobacteria bacterium
Lineage: Bacteria; Pseudomonadati; Pseudomonadota; Gammaproteobacteria
Description: bacterial SSU rRNA
Rfam family: Bacterial small subunit ribosomal RNA
Source: RNAcentral